ACUAAGCGUACACGGUGGAUGCCCUGGCAGUCAGAGGCGAUGAAGGACGUGCUAAUCUGCGAUAAGCGUCGGUAAGGUGAUAUGAACCGUUAUAACCGGCGAUUUCCGAAUGGGGAAACCCAGUGUGAUUCGUCACACUAUCAUUAACUGAAUCCAUAGGUUAAUGAGGCGAACCGGGGGAACUGAAACAUCUAAGUACCCCGAGGAAAAGAAAUCAACCGAGAUUCCCCCAGUAGCGGCGAGCGAACGGGGAGCAGCCCAGAGCCUGAAUCAGUGUGUGUGUUAGUGGAAGCGUCUGGAAAGGCGCGCGAUACAGGGUGACAGCCCCGUACACAAAAAUGCACAUGCUGUGAGCUCGAUGAGUAGGGCGGGACACGUGGUAUCCUGUCUGAAUAUGGGGGGACCAUCCUCCAAGGCUAAAUACUCCUGACUGACCGAUAGUGAACCAGUACCGUGAGGGAAAGGCGAAAAGAACCCCGGCGAGGGGAGUGAAAAAGAACCUGAAACCGUGUACGUACAAGCAGUGGGAGCACGCUUAGGCGUGUGACUGCGUACCUUUUGUAUAAUGGGUCAGCGACUUAUAUUCUGUAGCAAGGUUAACCGAAUAGGGGAGCCGAAGGGAAACCGAGUCUUAACUGGGCGUUAAGUUGCAGGGUAUAGACCCGAAACCCGGUGAUCUAGCCAUGGGCAGGUUGAAGGUUGGGUAACACUAACUGGAGGACCGAACCGACUAAUGUUGAAAAAUUAGCGGAUGACUUGUGGCUGGGGGUGAAAGGCCAAUCAAACCGGGAGAUAGCUGGUUCUCCCCGAAAGCUAUUUAGGUAGCGCCUCGUGAAUUCAUCUCCGGGGGUAGAGCACUGUUUCGGCAAGGGGGUCAUCCCGACUUACCAACCCGAUGCAAACUGCGAAUACCGGAGAAUGUUAUCACGGGAGACACACGGCGGGUGCUAACGUCCGUCGUGAAGAGGGAAACAACCCAGACCGCCAGCUAAGGUCCCAAAGUCAUGGUUAAGUGGGAAACGAUGUGGGAAGGCCCAGACAGCCAGGAUGUUGGCUUAGAAGCAGCCAUCAUUUAAAGAAAGCGUAAUAGCUCACUGGUCGAGUCGGCCUGCGCGGAAGAUGUAACGGGGCUAAACCAUGCACCGAAGCUGCGGCAGCGACGCUGAUGCGUUGUUGGGUAGGGGAGCGUUCUGUAAGCCUGCGAAGGUGUGCUGUGAGGCAUGCUGGAGGUAUCAGAAGUGCGAAUGCUGACAUAAGUAACGAUAAAGCGGGUGAAAAGCCCGCGUCGCCGGAAGACCAAGGGUUCCUGUCCAACGUUAAUCGGGGCAGGGUGAGUCGACCCCUAAGGCGAGGCCGAAAGGCGUAGUCGAUGGGAAACAGGUUAAUAUUCCUGUACUUGGUGUUACUGCGAAGGGGGGACGGAGAAGGCUAUGUUGGCCGGGCGACGGUUGUCCCGGUUUAAGCGUGUAGGCUGGUUUUCCAGGCAAAUCCGGAAAAUCAAGGCUGAGGCGUGAUGACGAGGCACUACGGUGCUGAAGCAACAAAUGCCCUGCUUCCAGGAAAAGCCUCUAAGCAUCAGGUAACAUCAAAUCGUACCCCAAACCGACACAGGUGGUCAGGUAGAGAAUACCAAGGCGCUUGAGAGAACUCGGGUGAAGGAACUAGGCAAAAUGGUGCCGUAACUUCGGGAGAAGGCACGCUGAUAUGUAGGUGAAGUCCCUCGCGGAUGGAGCUGAAAUCAGUCGAAGAUACCAGCUGGCUGCAACUGUUUAUUAAAAACACAGCACUGUGCAAACACGAAAGUGGACGUAUACGGUGUGACGCCUGCCCGGUGCCGGAAGGUUAAUUGAUGGGGUUAGCGCAAGCGAAGCUCUUGAUCGAAGCCCCGGUAAACGGCGGCCGUAACUAUAACGGUCCUAAGGUAGCGAAAUUCCUUGUCGGGUAAGUUCCGACCUGCACGAAUGGCGUAAUGAUGGCCAGGCUGUCUCCACCCGAGACUCAGUGAAAUUGAACUCGCUGUGAAGAUGCAGUGUACCCGCGGCAAGACGGAAAGACCCCGUGAACCUUUACUAUAGCUUGACACUGAACAUUGAGCCUUGAUGUGUAGGAUAGGUGGGAGGCUUUGAAGUGUGGACGCCAGUCUGCAUGGAGCCGACCUUGAAAUACCACCCUUUAAUGUUUGAUGUUCUAACGUUGACCCGUAAUCCGGGUUGCGGACAGUGUCUGGUGGGUAGUUUGACUGGGGCGGGUCUCCUCCUAAAGAGUAACGGAGGAGCACGAAGGUUGGCUAAUCCUGGUCGGACAUCAGGAGGUUAGUGCAAUGGCAUAAGCCAGCUUGACUGCGAGCGUGACGGCGCGAGCAGGUGCGAAAGCAGGUCAUAGUGAUCCGGUGGUUCUGAAUGGAAGGGCCAUCGCUCAACGGAUAAAAGGUACUCCGGGGAUAACAGGCUGAUACCGCCCAAGAGUUCAUAUCGACGGCGGUGUUUGGCACCUCGAUGUCGGCUCAUCACAUCCUGGGGCUGAAGUAGGUCCCAAGGGUAUGGCUGUUCGCCAUUUAAAGUGGUACGCGAGCUGGGUUUAGAACGUCGUGAGACAGUUCGGUCCCUAUCUGCCGUGGGCGCUGGAGAACUGAGGGGGGCUGCUCCUAGUACGAGAGGACCGGAGUGGACGCAUCACUGGUGUUCGGGUUGUCAUGCCAAUGGCACUGCCCGGUAGCUAAAUGCGGAAGAGAUAAGUGCUGAAAGCAUCUAAGCACGAAACUUGCCCCGAGAUGAGUUCUCCCUGACUCCUUGAGAGUCCUGAAGGAACGUUGAAGACGACGACGUUGAUAGGCCGGGUGUGUAAGCGCAGCGAUGCGUUGAGCUAACCGGUACUAAUGAACCGUGAGGCUUAACC
RNAcentral lists this ribosomal RNA (2895 nucleotides) under Escherichia coli NCCP15657. RNAcentral describes it as "bacterial LSU rRNA". It matches the Rfam family "Bacterial large subunit ribosomal RNA". The record is from RNAcentral. Lineage: Bacteria; Pseudomonadati; Pseudomonadota; Gammaproteobacteria; Enterobacterales; Enterobacteriaceae.